UAUUGGUCAAUGGGCGGAAGCCUGAACCAGCCAAGUAGCGUGAAGGACGACUGCCCUAUGGGUUGUAAACUUCUUUUAUGCGGGGAUAAAGUUCGCCACGUGUGGCGUUUUGCAGGUACCGCAUGAAUAAGGACCGGCUAAUUCCGUGCCAGCAGCCGCGGUAAUACGGAAGGUCCAGGCGUUAUCCGGAUUCAUUGGGUUUAAAGGGAGCGUAGGCCGCCUUUUAAGCGUGUUGUGAAAUGUAGGGGCUCAACCCCUGCACUGCAGCGCGGACUGGAGGGCUUGAGUACACACAAAGUAGGCGGAAUUCAUGGUGUAGCGGUGAAAUGCUUAGAUAUCAUGAAGAACCCCGAUUGCGAAGGCAGCUUACUGGAGAGUAACUGACGCUGAAGCUCGAAAGCGCGGGUAUCGAACAGG
This 417-nucleotide ribosomal RNA is filed under the name uncultured bacterium. Its description in RNAcentral is "bacterial SSU rRNA". It matches the Rfam family "Bacterial small subunit ribosomal RNA", at positions 362 to 776 of the family's 1533-position model. The record is from RNAcentral.